ACACAUCUAGGCCAAUUGCUUAAGUGAAGUGAGUCUCCUCACCUUCCUAAGCCCUGUCCAGGGGGAAUUUUGAUGUAUCACAAAAACCAGCAUCCAGUUGAUGUGACUCUUCUUCCAGGGUCCUGCCCACAAGAAAGAUUGUGACAUCUCACUGGACAAGCACCCACCCAGACUCUGCCAAGAGAGGGGAUUAUUACAUAUUGCAGAGCCCAGCACCUAGGUGGAGUGACUCUCAUCUUUUUCUUCUACCCCGUAUAUAGCCAGCUUGGUGACCUACUAUUUGAGUCUAUACCCAGGCCCAGACCACAGAUGAAAUUGUGCAAUAUGUGGAACAAACACCUAAACAAUAUAUAACACCUUCCUUGGCUCUGUCUACAAAGGGCACUUUUAUAUAUCACUGGGACCAUCAACCAGGUGAUGUUAAUUAUCUUCCUGAAACCUGUCUACAAAGAGAGUUGUGUCGUAUACCUAGGCCCGUCAUGUGAUGUUGUGCCAUAUAACUGAGACCGUAUCAAAAGCCUAAUAACAAGACGUAUGUCUGGAGCCCCGAUAUGCACAGGAUGGUGAUAUAACCCUCUUCUCUGGAAUGGGCCCCACACAAAGGAAGGAUAGUGACAUAUUGCAAGCCCAGGCACACAGGCCCAGAGCACAGUUGAAAUUGUGACAUAUGUACACCAAGCAACCAAGCAAUGUAUAACACCUCAUUUGGCAAUGGAAUCGAGGGCACUUUUACAUAUCACUGAGACCAGCGCCCAGCUGAUGUGAAAUAUUGGCCUGAACCCUGCCUACAAAAGCAUUGUGGCUUUUAUCUAGCUCCAUUACAUAAGUGAUGUGACUUCCUUCUACUGCCUUGGCCCUGCACUUAUGGUGAAUCGUGACACAAAAUUGGGUAGAGCAACCAGCCUGGGCCCUGACCAGCACAGAGAUUGAGGCAUAUUGCUGAACCCAGGACCAAGAUGAAGUCACUCUCCUGCCUUGAUCCUGCACACAGGGACCCUUGUGACAUAUAUACAGGCCAAUUGCCUAGGUGAUGUUGUGCAAUAUACCUGAGACCAGAUCAAUGGCCUAAUAAUGACUCUUUUACCUAGAGCCAGGACAUGUGCAGGAUGGUAACUCUCAUCCCUGAACCUUUCCACAGGUGUUAUUGUCACAUAUACCUUUUCCAGCUCCAAAGUGAUUUAAUAAUCCAGCCUAGUUAUAGCCCACAGAUAAUAUUUGGACAUAUACCUGAGUCAAGAACCUUGGUGAUUUGACUCUCAUGUCUUAACAGUGUCCUCAGAAGGGAUCAUAACAUAUCUCUGGACCCAUCAUCUAGGUUAUGUGACUCUCUUCUCCUGCCUGAACCCUGCUUCCAGUGAAGAGUGUUGCAUUUCUAAGCACUGCAUCCAAAUGACAUGAGUUUCUUGCCUGGGCCGUUUCAACAGAAGGCAUUGUGACAUAUCUCUAGGUCUAUCAUUUAGGUGAUAUGACUCUCCUCUCCUGCCUGGACACUCUCCACAAGGGGCAUUAUGCCAUAGAGCUAGAGCUAGCAACCAAGUUUUGUGAAUUUUCUGUUAGGGCCUUGCCUACAAAGAGAAUUUUGGAAUAUUUCUGGCUUAGAAUUUAAGUAAUGUGGUUGUUCUGCCUGUUCAGUAACCACAGAGGAGAAGGUGAAAUAUAUCUAGGCACCGCAAACAGGCAUGAUAAUGAGUCUUGUAUGUGGACCCAGCAAAUAGGAGAAA
Molecule: long non-coding RNA, 1721 nt
Organism: Homo sapiens (human)
Lineage: Eukaryota; Metazoa; Chordata; Mammalia; Primates; Hominidae
Product: long intergenic non-protein coding RNA 293
Source: Ensembl